Long non-coding RNA from Lepidothrix coronata (blue-crowned manakin), 879 nucleotides. RefSeq lists it as uncharacterized. The record is from RefSeq and is a predicted model, not a curated record. NCBI's taxonomy places the organism in Eukaryota, Metazoa, Chordata, Aves, Passeriformes, Pipridae. The transcript has 3 exons.
AACCCAAGUUAUGGACUGAACUAACUCAACAGACUUUUAUAAUCUUACCACCUUUCUCCUAUUUUGUCUCCAUCCUGCAGGAGAGAAGAUACCUUAUCUAACAGAAGAUAUAGAGGUGACAGUUGAAGAAUCUGAGGAGCCAUAAGGCUGUAUGGAAAUGGCUACAGUCCAUGAAGGAGAAAUUCAGGACAGAGGAGGCUCUUCAAGAGAUUGUGUUGAGAAGUGGAUAUUAGACACUGCUCUGCCUGGAUGAUAGUGAUGGUGAGAAAGUCCUUGUCCUUCCUCCAGUGAUUUUACUAUAUGACAAGUCCAUUCUCCCAAACAUUUUGUGAAAUUGCAACUAUGUGGUGUAAAAAUUCGUUUGGGAUAUUGGUCACAUGGAGACUGCAAAUAGACUGUAACUCCAAAGGUGGAGCUCAUCCACAUGACCUUUUUGUUCACUGUUCAUAUUUUGAAUGUCACUUUUAUUAGAGCAGACGAGUUUGUGUUGUCUUCUUUGACAGAGUUCAUAAGCUGCUGCCAGCAUCUUUUCAGGGAACUCUUGGAAACUGCUAAAGAAAUCCUGGAAGGAAUCUAGCUUGAGUAGCAGGCAAUCUGUAGUGUAAAUUUCUUCCAGACCGCUGAGCAAUAGGAAUCACACUGUUUUAAUAUCUGAUACAAACUUUUAUAUAAACAACUGCUGAUUUGCAAUUAGUAACUAGACAGAGUUUGUCAGAAACUGGCUACUUUGUAUUUCAUUGAUUAUCAUCCACAAAUGAUGGUCUUUCUUUGCUGGCAAAUGAUUCAAGCAAAGUGAUCUUUCCUAUUGCUAUAAUGGCACAUUCUGGUCAUUGGACAUACUUUGAAAGUCUUAAAAUAAAUGAAAAGAGAACUAAUAUA